Molecule: small RNA, 2047 nt
Filed under: Pongo abelii (Sumatran orangutan)
Lineage: Eukaryota; Metazoa; Chordata; Mammalia; Primates; Hominidae
Description: retained intron
Source: RNAcentral
AACAGAGCCACCUUCUGCGUCCUGCUGAGCUCUGUUCUCUCCAGCACCUCCCAACCCACUAGUGCCCGGUUCUCUUGCUCCACCAGGAACAAGCCACCAUGUCUCGCCAGUCAAGUGUGUCCUUCCGGAGUGGGGGCAGUCGUAGCUUCAGCACCGCCUCUGCCAUCACCCCGUCUGUCUCCCGCACCAGCUUCACCUCUGUGUCCCGGUCCGGGGGUGGCGGUGGUGGUGGCUUCGGCAGGGUCAGCCUUGGGGGUGCUUGUGGAGUGGGUGGCUAUGGCAGCCGGAGCCUCUACAAUCUGGGGGGCUCCAAGAGGAUAUCCAUCAGCACUAGCGGUGGCAGCUUCAGGAACCGCUUUGGUGCUGGUGCUGGAGGCAGCUAUGGCUUUGGAGGUGGUGCCGGUAGUGGAUUUGGUUUCGGCGGUGGAGCUGGUGGUGGCUUUGGGCUCGGUGGCGGAGCUGGCUUUGGAGGUGGCUUCGGUGGCCCUGGCUUUCCUGUCUGCCCUCCUGGAGGUAUCCAAGAGGUCACUGUCAACCAGAGUCUCCUGACUCCCCUCAACCUGCAAAUCGACCCCAGCAUCCAGAGGGUGAGGACCGAGGAGCGUGAGCAGAUCAAGACCCUCAACAAUAAGUUCGCCUCCUUCAUCGACAAGGUGCGGUUCCUGGAGCAGCAGAACAAGGUUCUGGACACCAAGUGGACCCUGCUGCAGGAGCAGGGCACCAAGACCGUGAGGCAGAACCUGGAGCCGUUGUUCGAGCAGUACAUCAACAACCUCAGGAGGCAGCUGGACAGCAUCGUGGGGGAACGGGGCCGCCUGGACUCGGAGCUGAGAAACAUGCAGGACCUGGUGGAAGACUUCAAGAACAAGUAUGAGGAUGAAAUCAACAAGCGUACCACUGCUGAGAAUGAGUUUGUGAUGCUGAAGAAGGAUGUAGAUGCUGCCUACAUGAACAAGGUGGAGCUGGAGGCCAAGGUUGAUGCACUGAUGGAUGAGAUUAACUUCAUGAAGAUGUUCUUUGAUGCGGAGCUGUCGCAGAUGCAGACGCAUGUCUCUGACACAUCAGUGGUCCUCUCCAUGGACAACAACCGCAACCUGGACCUGGAUAGCAUCAUCGCUGAGGUCAAGGCCCAGUAUGAGGAGAUCGCCAACCGCAGCCGGACGGAAGCCGAGUCCUGGUAUCAGACCAAGUAUGAGGAGCUGCAGCAGACAGCUGGCCGGCAUGGCGAUGACCUCCGCAACACCAAGCAUGAGAUCUCUGAGAUGAACCGGAUGAUCCAGAGGCUGAGAGCCGAGAUUGACAAUGUCAAGAAACAGUGCGCCAAUCUGCAGAACGCCAUUGCGGAUGCCGAGCAGCGUGGGGAGCUGGCCCUCAAGGAUGCCAGGAACAAGUUGGCCGAGCUGGAGGAGGCCCUGCAGAAGGCCAAGCAGGACAUGGCCCGGCUGCUGCGUGAGUACCAGGAGCUCAUGAACACCAAGCUGGCCCUGGACGUGGAGAUCGCCACUUACCGCAAGCUGCUGGAGGGCGAGGAAUGCAGGUGAGUAGACAGCAUGAACUCAAAGUGGUCCUCAGCUGAUAAAGCGAAGCUGCUCUACUGUGGGGUGUACAACACACAUACGUGAGAUCAGUGACUUGUGCGUGAUAAUGACACAUCAUCAACACUAUUUCAGUCUGACUCAUGGCCAUAUAACUGACCUCAACUCACUUUUCUGGUCUCUUUUUCCCCACCAGUGUUCCUGGGCACUGGCUGUCCUCCAAGCACCUGAGUAACUCAGCAAACAUGUCUUGACACUUGUGCCUUUUCUGCUAUUGCCCACGUUCUUUGCUCAACCUUAAUAUCCACGUCAUGCCCACCUCCAUCCACCCUUGUCCUCAGUACCCCUUCCUUCAGGAAGCCUUUCAUGUUUACUCCAGCUGAGUUAAACUCGCGUACCUUUGGAUUGUCAAACUACUGUUUGCUUCAACCUCUGACACUGCCCAUUGCCUACUUUCUGUUGGAGGAAUUUCUGUCCUUGCCAAGUUCUCUCACAGAAUGUAACUCCUACAA